GACGAACCGUGCAAACGUUGUUCGGAAUCACUGGGCUUAAAGGGCGCGUAGGCGGGCCAGCCAGUCUGUGGUGAAAGCCCCCGGCUUAACCGGGGAAGUGCCGUGGAUACUGCUGGCCUCGAGGAGGAUAGGGGCAUCUGGAACGGUCGGUGGAGCGGUGAAAUGCGUUGAUAUCGACCGGAACUCCGGUGGCGAAGGCGAGGUGCUGGGUCCUUUCUGACGCUGAUGCGCGAAAGCCAGGGGAGCAAACGGG
Molecule: ribosomal RNA, 253 nt
Filed under: uncultured bacterium
Lineage: Bacteria
Description: partial 16S ribosomal RNA
Rfam family: Bacterial small subunit ribosomal RNA
Source: RNAcentral